ACUAACCAUUCUCGGCGCGUAGCGCCAUACGUUGUAAGAUUCCACAUCCAUAUUUAUCUUCUAGUAGGCACCUAAGGCGCAGAGGCGGUAUUAUGUUGUAAAACGGAAAUGCUUGGCCCACACUGUAUGGUGCGACUCAGGCGCAUUAGGAUUUUUAAGAGUGGUAUUGUCGACAUUGGCUUGAGGCAACAUUCGAUUGAUUUAAAAUAUCGUACCGCGCUGUCGAAGUAGCAGUGAUGCCAUUGAAGUGUUAUAAUUAUAAGCACGUUCACAUUUUGUAUUAUACACUAUGUAACAUAAUGUAAUAAAUCUAUGUUGGUACUA
This is a long non-coding RNA of Melitaea cinxia (Glanville fritillary), 324 nucleotides long. RefSeq lists it as uncharacterized. The record is from RefSeq and is a predicted model, not a curated record. Lineage: Eukaryota; Metazoa; Arthropoda; Insecta; Lepidoptera; Nymphalidae. The transcript has 3 exons.